This 231-nucleotide unclassified non-coding RNA is filed under the name Hevea brasiliensis (rubber tree). The record is from RNAcentral. Lineage: Eukaryota; Viridiplantae; Streptophyta; Magnoliopsida; Malpighiales; Euphorbiaceae.
CAAUCCAUCAAUCUCUUCAAAAGCAAGGUACAAUUUUUUUUGCUGCAUUGUCUUCAUUUUGAGUUGCAUUAAAUGUAGAGUCCAAUUUUGUAUGAAGCAAAGGUGCCAAUGCUUGUCCCUUAAGAAUGGAUUUGUUCUUGAAGUUCACUCAGUGACUGUCACUCGUUCUCCUGUUCUCUUACAAAUUUAGCAUAUGUUGAAUUCAACUUUUGUCCGGCACAAAGAUUCUUG